Molecule: ribosomal RNA, 384 nt
Filed under: Triticum aestivum (bread wheat)
Lineage: Eukaryota; Viridiplantae; Streptophyta; Magnoliopsida; Poales; Poaceae
Description: partial small subunit ribosomal RNA
Source: RNAcentral
AUGUACAUUUUUUUAUGUCGUGAUCCUAAAUGUAAACUUGAUGAUGCUGAAAUUACAAAUGAAUUCUCGGCAGUGCAUGUUGAUAUGACACUUGUGAAAACUGAAGAUUUUGUCCGGAGUCGUAAAACAUGUAAUAUUCUCGGUAAUGCAGAAGAAGCAAAGAUUGCAUUGCCUUCAACCUUUGUAUGUGAAAUAUCCUGCCUAUAUCACUACUUGCAUCAUGUCAAUGCAUUGUGUGUUAACAAUUCAUUUUGUUACUUUCUUUGUAGAUUCAAAAGAUAUAUGGAUGAUUGUAUGGGUGCGUGGCAAGAAUACUGCAAUGAUGAUGAUGGUGUUCUGGUUCAUGAUGAUGAUGAUGAUGAUGAUGAUGAUGGUUGUAGUUAA